This 85-nucleotide transfer RNA is filed under the name Verrucomicrobiaceae bacterium. RNAcentral describes it as "tRNA-Leu". It matches the Rfam family "tRNA". From Rfam's summary of the family: Transfer RNA (tRNA) molecules are approximately 80 nucleotides in length. Their secondary structure includes four short double-helical elements and three loops (D, anti-codon, and T loops). Lineage: Bacteria; Pseudomonadati; Verrucomicrobiota; Verrucomicrobiia; Verrucomicrobiales; Verrucomicrobiaceae. The record is from RNAcentral.
GCCGGUGUGGUGAAAUUGGUAGACGCGCUAGACUCAAAAUCUUGUUCCGCAAGGAGUGUCGGUUCGAGUCCGACCACCGGCACCA